GCAGUCGAGCGGACCGAUGGGAGCUUGCUCCUUUAGGUUAGCGGCGGACGGGUGAGUAACACGUGGGCAACCUGCCCUGCAGACUGGGAUAACUUCGGGAAACCGGAGCUAAUACCGGAUAACACCGAAAACCGCAUGGUUUUCGGUUGAAAGGCGGCUUUUAGCUGUCACUGCAGGAUGGGCCCGCGGCGCAUUAGCUAGUUGGUGAGGUAACGGCUCACCAAGGCGACGAUGCGUAGCCGACCUGAGAGGGUGACCGGCCACACUGGGACUGAGACACGGCCCAGACUCCUACGGGAGGCAGCAGUAGGGAAUCUUCCGCAAUGGACGAAAGUCUGACGGAGCAACGCCGCGUGAGCGAAGAAGGUCUUCGGAUCGUAAAGCUCUGUUGUCAGGGAAGAACAAGUGCCGUUCGAACAGGGCGGUACCUUGACGGUACCUGACGAGGAAGCCACGGCUAACUACGUGCCAGCAGCCGCGGUAAU
RNAcentral lists this ribosomal RNA (485 nucleotides) under uncultured bacterium. RNAcentral describes it as "bacterial SSU rRNA". It matches the Rfam family "Bacterial small subunit ribosomal RNA", at positions 57 to 524 of the family's 1533-position model. The record is from RNAcentral.